This 433-nucleotide ribosomal RNA is filed under the name uncultured bacterium. RNAcentral's name for it is "partial 16S ribosomal RNA". It matches the Rfam family "Bacterial small subunit ribosomal RNA", at positions 29 to 507 of the family's 1533-position model. The record is from RNAcentral.
AACGAACGCUGGCGGCAUGCCUAACAUAUGCAAGUCGAACGAGACCUUCGGGUCUAGUGGCGCACGGGUGCGUAACGCGUGGGAACCUGCCCUUAGGUUCGGAAUAACUCCCCGAAAGGGGUGCUAAUACCGGAUAAUGUCUUCGGACCAAAGAUUUAUCGCCUUUGGAUGGGCCCGCGUUGGAUUAGCUAGUUGGUAGGGUAAAAGCCUACCAAGGCGACGAUCCAUAGCUGGUCUGAGAGGAUGAUCAGCCACACUGGGACUGAGACACGGCCCAGACUCCUACGGGAGGCAGCAGUGGGGAAUAUUGGACAAUGGGCGAAAGCCUGAUCCAGCAAUGCCGCGUGAGUGAUGAAGGCCUUAGGGUUGUAAAGCUCUUUUACCCGGGAUGAUAAUGGCAGUACCGGGAGAAUAAGCUCCGGCUAACUCCGUG